GUUUGUGACCAUCUCUUCUGUGGAGUCUAUAUUAGAGGAGUUUGCAUUUUGUCUUUGUUCAUAGGGGCUUUCAAGUCCAAUUGCAAAUAUGAGUUGUUCCUGUUGAUAUUGGUAAAUUCUGUGGGUCAUAGGCUUUAGGUUCUGUGUUCAAGAAGUGUACAGAUGGGGGGAGGCCACAGGAUGUUCUUCCCUAUGUUAAGUUGUUGAUAUCAUGUAGUCAACAGAAUUUGUGUUGC
RNAcentral lists this unclassified non-coding RNA (236 nucleotides) under Hevea brasiliensis (rubber tree). The record is from RNAcentral. Lineage: Eukaryota; Viridiplantae; Streptophyta; Magnoliopsida; Malpighiales; Euphorbiaceae.